RNAcentral lists this ribosomal RNA (497 nucleotides) under uncultured bacterium. Its description in RNAcentral is "partial 16S ribosomal RNA". It matches the Rfam family "Bacterial small subunit ribosomal RNA", at positions 28 to 507 of the family's 1533-position model. The record is from RNAcentral.
GAUGAACGCUGGCGGCGUGCCUAAUACAUGCAAGUCGAGCGAACGGACGAGAAGCUUGCUUCUCUGAUGUUAGCGGCGGACGGGUGAGUAACACGUGGAUAACCUACCUAUAAGACUGGGAUAACUUCGGGAAACCGUAGCUAAUACCGUAUAAUAUUUUGAACCGCAUGGUUCAAAAGUGAAAGACGGUCUUGCUGUCACUUAUAGAUGGAUCCGCGCUGCAUUAGCUAGUUGGUAAGGUAACGGCUUACCAAGGCAACGAUGCAUAGCCGACCUGAGAGGGUGAUCGGCCACACUGGAACUGAGACGCGGUCCAGACUCCUACGGGAGGCAGCAGUAGGGAAUCUUCCGCAAUGGGCGAAAGCCUGACGGAGCAACGCCGCGUGAGUGAUGAAGGUCUUCGGAUCGUAAAGCUCUGUUAUUAGGGAAGAACAUAUGUGUAAGUAACUGUGCACAUCGUGACGGUACCUAAUCAGAAAGCCACGGCUAACUACGUG